Molecule: small nucleolar RNA, 113 nt
Filed under: Microtus ochrogaster (prairie vole)
Lineage: Eukaryota; Metazoa; Chordata; Mammalia; Rodentia; Cricetidae
Description: Small nucleolar RNA SNORA44 (ENSMOCG00000011884.1)
Rfam family: Small nucleolar RNA SNORA44
About the family: ACA44 is a member of the H/ACA class of snoRNA that guide the sites of modification of uridines to pseudouridines.
Source: RNAcentral
CUUUAUUUUUAAAUUUUUACUUCCUCUCCAACUGCAUACCAGAGUAACUGGAGAGACUUUGACAGCCCAGGCCAGCACAGUGCCUGCAGCUGCCACUCGACUUUCCUAUACAU